This 100-nucleotide non-coding RNA is filed under the name Crystallibacter crystallopoietes. RNAcentral's name for it is "Arthrobacter crystallopoietes Glycine sequence". It matches the Rfam family "Glycine riboswitch aptamer". From Rfam's summary of the family: This family represents the bacterial glycine riboswitch. Glycine riboswitches usually consist of two metabolite-binding aptamers domains with similar structures in tandem. The record is from Rfam by way of RNAcentral. Lineage: Bacteria; Bacillati; Actinomycetota; Actinomycetes; Micrococcales; Micrococcaceae.
CGAAUUGCGGCGGGAGAGUCCUGCUGGAUGAAUGUCAGCGGGCGCCGUAGGAGCAAUACCUCCCCAGGAAUCUCUCAGGCCCCUGUACCGCCGCAGACAG